RNAcentral lists this ribosomal RNA (492 nucleotides) under uncultured bacterium. RNAcentral's name for it is "partial 16S ribosomal RNA". It matches the Rfam family "Bacterial small subunit ribosomal RNA", at positions 29 to 507 of the family's 1533-position model. The record is from RNAcentral.
AGUGAACGCUGGCGGUAGGCCUAACACAUGCAAGUCGAACGGCAGCACAGUAAGAGCUUGCUCUUACGGGUGGCGAGUGGCGGACGGGUGAGGAAUACAUCGGAAUCUACUUUUUCGUGGGAGAUAACGUAGGGAAACUUACGCUAAUACCGCAUACGACCUACGGGUGAAAGCAGGGGAUCUUCGGACCUUGCGCGAUUGAAUGAGCCGAUGUCGGAUUAGCUAGUUGGCGGGGUAAAGGCCCACCAAGGCGACGAUCCGUAGCUGGUCUGAGAGGAUGAUCAGCCACACUGGAACUGAGACACGGUCCAGACUCCUACGGGAGGCAGCAGUGGGGAACAUUGGACAAUGGGCGCAAGCCUGAUCCAGCCAUACCGCGUGGGUGAAGAAGGCCUUCGGGUUGUAAAGCCCUUUUGUUGGGAAAGAAAAGCAGCAGGUUAAUACCCCGCUGUUCUGACGGUACCCAAAGAAUAAGCACCGGCUAACUUCGUG